Molecule: long non-coding RNA, 1273 nt
Organism: Gasterosteus aculeatus aculeatus (three-spined stickleback)
Lineage: Eukaryota; Metazoa; Chordata; Actinopteri; Perciformes; Gasterosteidae
Source: Ensembl
GCAAACGUUGAGACCAACCGUCAAAGGAGCACUUCCGCAUCGCCUGAAGAUUAAGUACCUGAGAAAGUCCCUAAAGCCAUCGACGGUUAGGAGGGAACCCAACUUCACUUUCACUGCUCAAAUAUUCUCCGUUGCACCAGCUCGCAGUGAGGGCCUCGCCGCUGGCGUCCAACCGUGUUUCGCGGUGGAAACCAAACACUGGCCUGUUUGGACUGGAUGUGAUCCUUGUUUCCGGGCGGAACGCUGCCAGAGGCGGAUUGAUGGCUCUCACCCAGAGGAGGACGUUUACAGGAAUAUCCUCCCGGCUGGAAUUCGCUUUUCGUUUUUUUUUUUUUAAAUUGGACUCCGAACACACGGUCGCAGUCAUGGCUGCGCGGCGGCAAAGUGUUCCCCGAGUGAUAAUGAAGGGAGUGCUGCUGUGCACAUCGCCGCGCACACAAACACGCGGUUGUAGUGUACUUGAGGGGCCGUCGCUGACAUGAUGCAUGGUGGGUACGGCCUUAACCUUAACCCGGAAUCCAACCUUGACCUGAACCCAGUCAUAAAUAACACUUCUGGUUCAUCACAACUUGGGCCUCGUUUGAUAGUUUUGGCCCACGAUGACGUGACGUACACCAAGUAACGGCUUGAGAUUGAGCAGACAGGCUGUAAAAUACAGUUAAUUGAACUGGAUGUUAAUUGUUCCAUCCAACUGCUUUCUGUCAAAUUCUCUGAAUUCCCAGAUAUCGGUAAAAAAAAAAAGAAAUGAGGCCAUUUCUGAGAAUAAAUGCUGGCUUAAAGGUACGUGCACACUCACAAGGAUGUACAGUGCGCAUAGACAUGCACACAUAUACGAUUUACAGUAGACUUUUUGUUGCGGCCUGCUAGUAAUCACACACACACACACACACACACACUAGUUGAAUCCAUAUGAAUGAAAAGGCUUCCUUGCCACAUUCCUUCCUCAGCAGCAGACGGACUUACCAGUUGCUUCCGCGGCGGAUCGAUGGAAGCAAAAUAGGACAAAAAUAGAGUUUAAAGUAUCUCAGGAAAGGAUCGAGUAGGGCGAGUGAAAGCGAGAAGGUCGGGUAGGAUGUGGAGAGGAGAAAAGGACAGAAUAAGGUUAAACGUGUGUGUACACAGAUACUCACACAGGCAGAAUUAAGUGUGGAAAUAUAUCCAUAUAUAUCCACACUUUUGAUUUAUUAACACUUAUUCAAUGUAUUUUUUGUUGAUUAGUAGUAUAAUCUCUGGCUUUGCGACAUAGAUGAAUCUCUACUACAGAGAGAAAGGG